GGUUGAUUUGGAUCCUUCUUCGUCUUCUUCCCAGCCUUUCUACCUCUGGU
Molecule: small RNA, 50 nt
Filed under: Arabidopsis thaliana (thale cress)
Lineage: Eukaryota; Viridiplantae; Streptophyta; Magnoliopsida; Brassicales; Brassicaceae
Description: ATSL103750
Source: RNAcentral